UGGGUUAUAGCCAAGCGGUAAGGCAACGGGUUUUGAUCCCGUUAUGCGCUGGUUCGAUCCCAGCUAACCCAAUCA
Molecule: transfer RNA, 75 nt
Filed under: Lentilactobacillus hilgardii
Lineage: Bacteria; Bacillati; Bacillota; Bacilli; Lactobacillales; Lactobacillaceae
Description: tRNA-Gln
Rfam family: tRNA
About the family: Transfer RNA (tRNA) molecules are approximately 80 nucleotides in length. Their secondary structure includes four short double-helical elements and three loops (D, anti-codon, and T loops).
Source: RNAcentral